CUAUCUGCCACGAUAAGGAGCAGUAGUGGUGUUGAAUCCUUUUAGAGAGCUGACGGUAGGUGCAAGUCAGCAGGAAGCCAUCAUGAACUCGCCUUUGAGCAGCAAGUGUGAAGUAGUAGUAAUGCUUGCCGUUUUCCGCGUUAAGGAUGAAUGAAGCGAAUGACUUUUGUCAUUAAUGUGGGUGGUACCGCGGGAGAUUCAUACAUAAUCCUCUCGUCCCUAUU
RNAcentral lists this non-coding RNA (224 nucleotides) under Bacillus sp. (in: firmicutes). RNAcentral's name for it is "Bacillus sp. T-box sequence". It matches the Rfam family "T-box leader". From Rfam's summary of the family: Uncharged tRNA acts as the effector for transcription antitermination of genes in the T-box leader family. T-boxes are found upstream of many aminoacyl-tRNA synthetase genes and some amino acid biosynthetic genes usually in Gram-positive bacteria. The anticodon of a specific tRNA base pairs to a specifier sequence within the T-box motif, and the NCCA acceptor tail of the tRNA base pairs to a conserved bulge in the T-box antiterminator hairpin. Lineage: Bacteria; Bacillati; Bacillota; Bacilli; Caryophanales; Bacillaceae. The record is from RNAcentral.